UCCGGUUGAUCCUGCCGGAGGCUACCGCUAUUGGAGUUCGAUUAAGCCAUGCGAGUCGCGAGUCUUAGGGACUCGGCGUACCGCUCAGUAACACGUGGGUAACCUGCCCUAUGCUGGGGGAUAACCUCGGGAAACUGAGAAUAAUACCCUAUAGUUCACCACGCCUGGAACGGUGGGUGGAUGAAAGCUCCGGCGGCAUAGGAUGGGCCUGCGGCGUAUCAGGUUGUAGGGGGUGUAAUGUACCCUCUAGCCCUCUACGCGUACGGGUGUUGAGAGACAUAGCCCGGAGAUGGAUUCUGAGACACGAAUCCAGACCCUACGGGGUGCAGCAGGCGCGAAAACUUGGCAAUGCGAGAAAUCGUGACCAGGGAACUCCAAGUGCAUCGGGUAAGACCGAUGCUUUUCUUGACUCUUCAAAGGUCUUGGAAUAAGGGGUGGGUAAGGACGGUGCCAGCCGCCGCGGUAAUACCGGCGCCCCAAGUGGUAGUCGCUUUUAUUGGGCCUAAAACGUCCGUAGCCGGUCUGGUACAUUCGUGGGUAAAUCAACCAGCUCAACUGGUUGAAUUCUGCGAGCACGGCCAGACUUGGGACCGGGAGAGGUGUGGGGUACUCUCAGGGUAGGGGUAAAAUCCUGUCAUCCUGAGAGGACCACCUGUUGCGAAGGCGCCACACUAGAACGGAUCCGACGGUCAGGGACGAAGCCUAGGGGCACGAACCGGAUUAGAUACCCGGGUAGUCCUAGGUGUAAACGCUGUGGACUUGAUGUUGGGGGCGCUCCGAGCGCACUCAGUGUCGAAGCGAAGGUGAUAAGUCCACUGCCUGGGGAGUACGGUCGCAAGGCUGAAACUUAAAGGAAUUGGCGGGGGAGCACCGCAACCUGAGGAUUGUGCGGUUUAAUUGGAUUCAACGCCGGAAAACUCACCAUAGCCGACGGACAGAUGAAGGCCAGCGUAAUGAGCUUGCCGGAUUGUUCGAGAGGUAGUGCAUGGCCGUCGUCAGUUCGUACCGCAAGGCGUUCUGUUAAGUCAGAUAACGAACGAGACCCUCAUCCCUAUU
This 1056-nucleotide ribosomal RNA is filed under the name marine metagenome. RNAcentral describes it as "bacterial SSU rRNA". It matches the Rfam family "Archaeal small subunit ribosomal RNA", at positions 1 to 1064 of the family's 1478-position model. The record is from RNAcentral.